Long non-coding RNA from Thalassophryne amazonica, 220 nucleotides. RefSeq lists it as uncharacterized. The transcript is spliced from 3 exons. Lineage: Eukaryota; Metazoa; Chordata; Actinopteri; Batrachoidiformes; Batrachoididae. The record is from RefSeq and is a predicted model, not a curated record.
UGGUGUUACAGAAGCUUGGGAUAGGCUUGAGAAAGCAACGAUUGACAAUGUCACGGCAACUCAGCUUCCACUAGAGGACCAUCAUCAGAGUGAGGCAGAAGUAGGUGGUGAUGGUGAUGAUGAGGUGGAGGUGGAGCAAGAGGACACACAUCAAAGAGGAGCUCACAGGAUGUCAGCCUUGGAGCAGUUAUUUGCGGAUGAAGACCGGGAACUUCUCCAC